This 470-nucleotide ribosomal RNA is filed under the name uncultured bacterium. RNAcentral describes it as "SSU rRNA". It matches the Rfam family "Bacterial small subunit ribosomal RNA", at positions 26 to 518 of the family's 1533-position model. The record is from RNAcentral.
AGGAUAAACGCUGGCGGCGUGCCUAACACAUGCAAGUCGAACGCGCUUUCGGGCUUCGGUGCGAGAGCGAGUGGCGGACGGGUGAGUAACGACAUGGGUACCUACCUUGGAGUGAGGGAUACCGGCGAGAAAUCGCCGACAAUACCGCAUAGGCUUCUUCACAAGGGAAGCAAAGUGACGCGAGUCACGCUGUGAGAUGGGCCUGUGGCCGAUUAGCUAGUUGGGGGGUAACGGCUUCCCAAGGCGACGAUCGGUAGCUGGUCUGAGAGGACGAUCAGCCACACUGGGAUUGAGAACGGCCCAGACUCCUACGGGGGGCAGCAGUGAGGAAUUUUCGCAAUGGAGGCAACUCUGACGGAGCAACGCCGCGUGCAGGAGGAAGGUUUUCGGAUCGUAAACUGCUUUUCUCGGGGACGAGCAAGGACGGUACCCGAGGAAGAAGCCCCGGCUAACUACGUGCCAGCAGCCGC